RNAcentral lists this transfer RNA (74 nucleotides) under Fidelibacterota bacterium. Its description in RNAcentral is "tRNA-Gln". It matches the Rfam family "tRNA". Rfam says of the family: Transfer RNA (tRNA) molecules are approximately 80 nucleotides in length. Lineage: Bacteria; Pseudomonadati; Fidelibacterota. The record is from RNAcentral.
UGCCGGGUCGUCUAAUGGCAGGACAGCGGCCUUUGGAGCCGUUAAUCGUGGUUCGAAUCCACGCCCGGCAGCUA